This is a non-coding RNA of Peromyscus maniculatus bairdii (prairie deer mouse), 143 nucleotides long. NCBI's taxonomy places the organism in Eukaryota, Metazoa, Chordata, Mammalia, Rodentia, Cricetidae. The record is from RefSeq and is a predicted model, not a curated record.
AUCCAGUUAUGCCAGCAUCACUUGUUGAAGAUUCUUUCUUUUUUCCAUUGUACAGUUUUGGCUUGUUUGUCAAAAAUUAGUUGUUCAUACGUGUGUGGCUUAAUGUCAGAGUCUUCAGUUCAAUUGCAUUGACUAAUGUGUCU